Molecule: ribosomal RNA, 467 nt
Filed under: uncultured bacterium
Lineage: Bacteria
Description: bacterial SSU rRNA
Rfam family: Bacterial small subunit ribosomal RNA
Source: RNAcentral
GGCCAGACUCCUACGGGAGGCAGCAGUGAGGAAUAUUGGUCAAUGGGCGGAAGCCUGAACCAGCCAAGUCGCGUGAGGGAAAAAGGCCCUACGGGUCGUAAACCUCUUUUGCCGGGGAGCAAGGGCGGGGACGUGUCCCGGCCCGGAGAGUACCCGGAGAAAAAGCAUCGGCUAACUCCGUGCCAGCAGCCGCGGUAAUACGGAGGAUGCGAGCGUUAUCCGGAUUUAUUGGGUUUAAAGGGUGCGUAGGCGGGCUUUUAAGUCAGCGGUAAAAAUUCGGGGCUCAACCCCGUCCGGCCGUUGAAACUGGGGGCCUUGAGUGCACGCAGGGAUGCCGGAAUUCAUGGUGUAGCGGUGAAAUGCUUAGAUAUCACGAAGAACCCCGAUUGCGAAGGCAGCCUGCCGCAGCGUUACUGACGCUGAAGCUCGAAAGCGCGGGUAUCGAACAGGAUUAGAUACCCUUGUAC